GAUGAACGCUGGCGGCGUGCCUAAUACAUGCAAGUCGAGCGAACGGACGAGAAGCUUGCUUCUCUGAUGUUAGCGGCGGACGGGUGAGUAACACGUGGAUAACCUACCUAUAAGACUGGGGUAACUUCGGGAAACCGGAGCUAAUACCGGAUGAUAUUUUGAACCGCAUGGUUCAAAAGUGAAAGACGGUCUUGCUGUCACUUAUAGAUGGAUCCGCGCUGCAUUAGCUAGUUGGUAAGGUAACGGCUUACCAAGGCAACGAUGCAUAGCCGACCUGAGAGGGUGAUCGGCCACACUGGAACUGAGACACGGUCCAGACUCCUACGGGAGGCAGCAGUAGGGAAUCUUCCGCAAUGGGCGAAAGCCUGACGGAGCAACGCCGCGUGAGUGAUGAAGGUCUUCGGAUCGUAAAACUCUGUUAUUAGGGAAGAACAUAUGUGUAAGUAACUGUGCACAUCUUGGCGGUACCUAAUCAGAAAGCCACGGCUAACUACGUG
This 497-nucleotide ribosomal RNA is filed under the name uncultured bacterium. Its description in RNAcentral is "partial 16S ribosomal RNA". It matches the Rfam family "Bacterial small subunit ribosomal RNA", at positions 28 to 507 of the family's 1533-position model. The record is from RNAcentral.